This 252-nucleotide ribosomal RNA is filed under the name Escherichia coli. RNAcentral's name for it is "partial 16S ribosomal RNA". It matches the Rfam family "Bacterial small subunit ribosomal RNA", at positions 1281 to 1532 of the family's 1533-position model. The record is from RNAcentral. Lineage: Bacteria; Pseudomonadati; Pseudomonadota; Gammaproteobacteria; Enterobacterales; Enterobacteriaceae. RNAcentral also lists the same sequence under 1 other name.
GUGCGUCGUAGUCCGGAUUGGAGUCUGCAACUCGACUCCAUGAAGUCGGAAUCGCUAGUAAUCGUGGAUCAGAAUGCCACGGUGAAUACGUUCCCGGGCCUUGUACACACCGCCCGUCACACCAUGGGAGUGGGUUGCAAAAGAAGUAGGUAGCUUAACCUUCGGGAGGGCGCUUACCACUUUGUGAUUCAUGACUGGGGUGAAGUCGUAACAAGGUAACCGUAGGGGAACCUGCGGUUGGAUCACCUCCUU